UACCCCGGGGAUAACAGGCUUAUCUCCCCCAAGAGUUCACAUCGACGGGGAGGUUUGGCACCUCGAUGUCGGCUCAUCGCAUCCUGGAGCUGAAGCAGGUUCCAAGGGUUUGGCUGUUCGCCAAUUAAAGCGGUACGCGAGCUGGGUUCAGAACGUCGUGAGACAGUUCGGUCCCUAUCCGUCGCAGGCGAAAGAUACUUGAGAAGAGCUGUCCCCAGUACGAGAGGACCGGGAUGGACACACCGAUGGUGAAUCAGUUGUUCCACCAGGAGCAUAGCUGAGUAGCUAAGUGUGGAAAAGAUAAGCGCUGAAAGCAUCUAAGCGUGAAACAGACUUCAAGAUUAGGUAUCUCACUUUGUUAAGAAGGUAAGAUCCCUUAAAGAUGAUAAGGUAGAUAGGCCAGAGGUGUAAGUGUAGUAAUACAUUAAGCUAACUGGUACUAAUAGAUCGAGGGCUUAAUCAU
RNAcentral lists this non-coding RNA (463 nucleotides) under Halanaerobium saccharolyticum subsp. saccharolyticum DSM 6643. RNAcentral's name for it is "Bacterial large subunit ribosomal RNA". It matches the Rfam family "Bacterial large subunit ribosomal RNA", at positions 2464 to 2925 of the family's 2925-position model. The record is from Rfam by way of RNAcentral. Lineage: Bacteria; Bacillati; Bacillota; Clostridia; Halanaerobiales; Halanaerobiaceae.